CAGUCGUACCUUCGGGUAAUCAGCCUUUCGGGUGCGAUUCUGUGGAGUUUGAGGAGCUUAACACCUUCAUGCUUUUGCAUAUUCGUGCUCUUGGGUGUACUUGCCCGUGUGGUUGGUUAACAUCAAUUUCGGUGGUCAUAAAAUGACUGGAGGAAUGUAGCUUCGAUCUCGUAUUGAAGUGUUAUAGCCUUCGGUAGAUGUGAUGACUGAGAUUGAGGAUUGCAACGGAUACCCUUCGGGGCUACUCGUCUGAUCUCUGAAGGUUGCUCCGGUGCCGAAGCGUGCUUACGGUCAUCGAAAGUGAUUUUCAAAAGGUUAGAACGGUUAAUUCGUUAAGGAUGUUGACG
This 347-nucleotide ribosomal RNA is filed under the name Rhizophagus irregularis. The record is from RNAcentral. Lineage: Eukaryota; Fungi; Glomeromycota; Glomeromycetes; Glomerales; Glomeraceae.